CACGUUGGCAGGUACCUGCGAGGGG
RNAcentral lists this non-coding RNA (25 nucleotides) under Cricetulus griseus (Chinese hamster). Lineage: Eukaryota; Metazoa; Chordata; Mammalia; Rodentia; Cricetidae. The record is from RNAcentral.